This 253-nucleotide ribosomal RNA is filed under the name uncultured bacterium. RNAcentral's name for it is "partial 16S ribosomal RNA". It matches the Rfam family "Bacterial small subunit ribosomal RNA", at positions 524 to 776 of the family's 1533-position model. The record is from RNAcentral.
UACGUAGGGGGCAAGCGUUGUCCGGAAUUAUUGGGCGUAAAGCGCUUGUAGGUGGCUUUUUGCGUCUGCCGUGAAAACCCGAGGCUCAACCUCGGACGUGCGGUGGAUACGGGCAGGCUAGAGUGUGGUAGGGGAGACUGGAACUCCUGGUGUAGCGGUGAAAUGCGCAGAUAUCAGGAAGAACACCGAUGGCGAAGGCAGGUCUCUGGGCCGUUACUGACACUGAGAAGCGAAAGCAUGGGGAGCGAACAGG